UGAGGAAUAUUGGUCAAUGGGCGAGAGCCUGAACCAGCCAUGUCGCGUGCAGGACUACGGCCCUACGGGUCUUAAACUGCUUUUGCCGGGGGAUAAAGUCGGGGGUUCGCCCCCCGUUCGCAGGUACCCGGCGAAUAAGGAUCGGCUAACUCCGUGCCAGCAGCCGCGGUAAUACGGAGGAUCCGAGCGUUAUCCGGAUUUAUUGGGUUUAAAGGGUGCGUAGGCGGCCUGUCAAGUCGGCGGUGAAACCCCCGGGCUCAACCCGGGGACUGCCGUCGAAACUGACGGGCUUGAGUACGUUGGGAGUGCGCGGAAUGUGUGGUGUAGCGGUGAAAUGCUUAGAUAUCACACAGAACACCGAUCGCGAAGGCAGCGCACUACGCCGUAACUGACGCUGAGG
This 400-nucleotide ribosomal RNA is filed under the name uncultured bacterium. RNAcentral describes it as "bacterial SSU rRNA". It matches the Rfam family "Bacterial small subunit ribosomal RNA", at positions 355 to 751 of the family's 1533-position model. The record is from RNAcentral.